UAGAAGUGAGGAGCUACACCUCUGGAGAUUUAGAAAUGGAAGCGUGGUUUCCAUCAGGGAACGUGCAGCCAGAACCAGCUUAUCUGCAAGAGACAGAGACCCCAGAAUCCACCAUAAAGGUCAUCUCUUGGGACUAGAUGGGACAGCAGCAGCCCAGCCAGCAUACGGGCUAGCAGCUGUGGAACCUGUGUCUCACCGUGUCAGCCGACACAAUGUCCUUCUUGCAUCUUCUCCCCUUCUCGACCUUGUCCUAUCUCCUUAGAGAAUGACCCUGUCAUUAUCACCUGAGGGGUCUCUUAUAUCUGCUCUGCAGACAGCACCUGUCUGACGUACUGGCAGAACCAUUCCCUGAUUUCAAUAUAGCAACUUCCCUUGCCCCACAGCCAGCCCUCACCUCCCCCUGAGAAAUGGCCUUUUUACUUCUGUGGUUCUUUUUAUGUUGCUUUUCUUUUAAGUAUUUGUUUUAAUAAAUUGUUAGUACUCCUUUU
RNAcentral lists this long non-coding RNA (488 nucleotides) under Rattus norvegicus (Norway rat). Its description in RNAcentral is "long non-coding RNA NONRATT012524". The record is from RNAcentral. Lineage: Eukaryota; Metazoa; Chordata; Mammalia; Rodentia; Muridae.